RNAcentral lists this ribosomal RNA (170 nucleotides) under uncultured rumen bacterium. RNAcentral's name for it is "partial 16S ribosomal RNA". It matches the Rfam family "Bacterial small subunit ribosomal RNA", at positions 340 to 524 of the family's 1533-position model. The record is from RNAcentral.
UACGGGAGGCAGCAGUGGGGAAUAUUGGGCAAUGGGCGAAAGCCUGACCCAGCAAUGCCGCGUGAAUGAAGAAGGUCUUAGGAUUGUAAAAUUCUGUCCUUUGGGAAGAAACAAAUGACGGUACCAAAGGAGGAAGCCCCGGCUAACUACGUGCCAGCAGCCGCGGUAAU